GCUGGCGGCGUGCCUAUUACAUGCAAGUCGAGCGAACUGAUUAGAAGCUUGCUUCUAUGACGUUAGCGGCGGACGGGUGAGUAACACGUGGGCAACCUGCCUGUAAGACUGGGAUAACUCCGGGAAACCGGAGCUAAUACCGGAUAACAUUUUUUCUUGCAUAAGAGAAAAUUGAAAGAUGCUGUCGGCUAUCACAUACAAAUGGGUCUGCGGUG
The sequence is a ribosomal RNA, 215 nucleotides long. It matches the Rfam family "Bacterial small subunit ribosomal RNA", at positions 35 to 238 of the family's 1533-position model.